Small nucleolar RNA from Cercocebus atys (sooty mangabey), 104 nucleotides. The record is from Ensembl. Lineage: Eukaryota; Metazoa; Chordata; Mammalia; Primates; Cercopithecidae.
AUCCUUUUGUAGUUCAUGAGGAUGAUGAUUGAGUUUUCAUGCACGUGUGUGAGAUGUGCCACCCUGGAACCUUGUUAUGACAUCCGCACGUUACCCAUCUGAUC